This 245-nucleotide unclassified non-coding RNA is filed under the name uncultured Pleosporales. RNAcentral's name for it is "sequence contains 5.8S rRNA gene". The stretch from base 1 to 53 matches the Rfam family "5.8S ribosomal RNA", at positions 102 to 154 of the family's 154-position model. Lineage: Eukaryota; Fungi; Ascomycota; Dothideomycetes; Pleosporales. The record is from RNAcentral.
GAACGCACAUUGCGCCCCUUGGUAUUCCAUGGGGCAUGCCUGUUCGAGCGUCAUUUGUACCCUCAAGCUUUGCUUGGUGUUGGGCGUCUUGUCUUUUAUUAGACUCGCCUUAAAGUCAUUGGCAGCCAGUGUUUUUGGUAGUAAGCGCAGCACAUUUUGCGUCUUAGUCCUUGAAUCGUGGCAUCCAUGAAGCCUCUUUUUCACUUUUGACCUCGGAUCAGGUAGGGAUACCCGCUGAACUUAAG